GACGAACGCUGGCGGCGUGCCUAAUACAUGCAAGUAGAACGCUGAAGGAGGAGCUUGCUUCUCUGGAUGAGUUGCGAACGGGUGAGUAACGCGUAGGUAACCUGCCUGGUAGCGGGGGAUAACUAUUGGAAACGAUAGCUAAUACCGCAUAAGAGUAGAUGUUGCAUGACAUUUGCUUAAAAGGUGCAAUUGUAUCACUACCAGAUGGACCUGCGUUGUAUUAUCUAGUUGGUGGGGUAACGGCUCAACAAGGCGACGAUACAUAGCCGACCUGAGAGGGGGAUCGGCCACACUGGGACUGAGACACGGCCCAGACUCCUACGGGAAGCAGCAGUAGGGAAUCUUCGGCAAUGGACGGAAGUCUGACCGAGCAACGCCGCGGGAGUGAAGAAGGGUUUCGGAUCGUAAAGAUCUGUUGUAAGAGAAGAACGAGUGUGAGAGUGGAAAGUUCACACUGUGACGGUAUCUUACCAGAAAGGGACGGCUAACUACGUG
This 495-nucleotide ribosomal RNA is filed under the name uncultured bacterium. RNAcentral describes it as "partial 16S ribosomal RNA". It matches the Rfam family "Bacterial small subunit ribosomal RNA", at positions 28 to 507 of the family's 1533-position model. The record is from RNAcentral.